AGCUCGUGUCGUGAGAUGUUGGGUUAAGUCCCGCAACGAGCGCAACCCUUGUCCUGUGUUGCUACCCGCAAGGGGAGGACUCUCAGGAGACUGCCGUGGAUAACACGGAGGAAGGUGGGGACGACGUCAAGUCAUCAUGGCCUUUAUGUCCAGGGCUACACACGUGAUACAAUGGUGCAGACAGAAGGUUGCAAGACCGUAAGGUGGAGCCAAUUCCCAAACUGCACCCUAGUUCAGAUUGAGGGCUGCAAUUCGCCCUCAUGAAGCUGGAAUCGCUAGUAAUCGCAGAUCAGCAGGCUGCGGUGAAUACGUUCCCGGGCCUU
Molecule: ribosomal RNA, 323 nt
Filed under: uncultured bacterium
Lineage: Bacteria
Description: bacterial SSU rRNA
Rfam family: Bacterial small subunit ribosomal RNA
Source: RNAcentral